UUAAAAUGGAGUUAGUUAGGUCUCACAGUUCUCAGUUCAGGGGAGAGGAGGAGCAGGCCCAGGAUCAGUGUACCAGUGUGGAGUUAAGAGGCCGGAGACCAAGGCCAGAGUGAGCCCGGCUGGCUUCUCCUUUAAACGGGGAUAACAGUGACCACAGCCCAAGCUGACAAGAAUGAAAUGCAUGAGUGCGAUAGUGAAGCAGGUACCGAGGGUGAGCUCCAUUGCUAGUCCAGAGGUAAACGACACCAAACCGUACCAUGGUGUGCUUGUACAGGGGCAGUAAAGGGUGCUGCUCAACCUGGGGAUGAAGAGCACAAAAUACCUUCCUGCCAGUGUCUGAAAGGGUGCCUGCUAUCAGUCAGUCACUUGAAGAGCAGAAAUGAGGCAUGUGUUUGUGAGAAACUUUCAGGAGAAAUAUUCCAGAAAUUCACAUUUGAUGUAGUCAGAAAUGUCUUCCAUAGGACCGAGGGAGGACAGAGGAAGCCUCCCCAACCCUGAUUCAUCUCCUCAGUGACCUUCCCAGCCUGUGAGCCUCUUAAUCUGGAUGCAUUUAUCUUCUUUCCAUCGAAGGAGCCUGAUCUCAGUCUCCUCAGAGCUCCUCCAGCAGGCUCUGGGUCUGCCCUAAGGAAAGGGCAUUUCUCCAGCUCUGUCUCUUCCUUUGCCAGUUGUGAUUCCAUUCUCCACAUCCUGCUCUGCUUGUCUUGUUCUCCAGGUAGGGUGAGCUCACAGUUGAUGAGGGUAUUAAAUCUACCUCCUGCCCCACCUCAAGCAGGCUGUAAGGAAGGGCCUCGCAGCUGACCAUCCCGCUUCCCAGGAUACGGGAAUGGUAGCCCACAAUCGCAGAUUUUCAGUGUUAAUCUGUUGAUUUACUGAUCCUACUCAAGCCCACAUUCUUGUUUGUCAUGUUCUGUCAUCUAAACUAAGAGAAUGAAAGAGACCUGCACUGAAAAUGGGGACAUUCAGCAUCUAGUUUGACUUGCCACAUAUCUGCUCUGGGACUUAGGACAAGAAACUUGACAGAGCACACAUUCUUCUCAUCUGAAACAUUGAAUUUCAGUAAAUUACCUGUAAUUUAUCAGAGAAAAGCAUUUUAUAAGUUCUAUUCAUAAGACACUUGCACAUCUACUCAUUAACUCAUCUAUCUUCGCCAUCAUUAACUCUUCCAAUUCCCACCAAACCCUUGGAGAAUAGCCCAGGUCCACCUUCAGUGACCUGCAUGCAGUCUGCAAAGGCCCCUGGGCAGGCACACUGGACUCUCCCUGUCAUUUGAGCCAUUUCACGCCUCUGCCUUUCCUAGUACACCUGUCCUCAGAGGAUGGGUCCCAGCAGCCAGAGGAGGUUCCAUUUCUGAUGCUUUUAUUGUGGAUUCAGCUUGGGCGGGGCUGGGAGAACACCCACCUACACUUCCUUGUUUCAGAUGUAGCUCUCUAGAUCUGGAAAGGCUUGUCAGACUCCUUCUUAGUACAGAAAACCCUCCUUUGGCACUACCUGGUGAGGAGAGACACUCCCUUCUCUUCUCCGCAGGAAGGACAGCUCAGAAUGAGACAGAAGGCUCAGGUGUGGGUCAGUCCAUGCCUACUCUCUCAGGCUCUGGUGGGGCAGUUGGCGUGAGUGUUAAAGCCCCAGGUGGAAGAUUACCACGAGAGUAGACUCUCGAAGGCUGAGCCAAGUCAUCCAGCUUCUCAGCCCCCCCUUACCCACACUGCUGCUUCUCUGCAGUGACCAAGGCUCCCUGCAAAUCCCUAGGCAAACACUUCAUAUUUUGAGCAAGUGUAUUAGCUAGGGUUCUUCAGAGAAACAGAACCAAUGCAAAUGCAUAUAUAUUAUAUACAUAUAUUGUUUCUUUAUUUUAAGGAAUGGCUCCCAGGCUGAAUCCACAAUACAUUCAGGCCCAAGGACAAUCUGCUGGGAGGUCAGUCUUCCUUUCUACACAGGCUUUCAAAUGAUUGGAUGAGGAACACCCACAUUAAGGAGGAAAAUCUGCUUUACUCAAACUCUACUGAUUUAAAUGUUUACCCCGUUAAAAAUAUCUACACAAAAGCAUCUAGAAUAACUGAACAAAUCUCUGGCUACUGUGACAUAAAUAUCACACACACACACAUCCGCAUACACACACACAUACACCCCUAGUGGACAGAAAAACUAAAGUUCAAAAUGUUUGUGAGUGAUUCAAAUGUCCUUUCCCAAGGACACUGUCCAAGCACUAGUAUUUGGGGCUAUUAGGUCCAGAAAGAGCCCUGGUCUUUCCCUCAUGAUCCGAUGGCAUGGAGAACUAGAGAAACAAACUCUUAUUUCUUCCUAUAGCUCUGCCUGACACUCACUAUUAAUUGCAGAUUUUGGCCUUUUAUUAAAGAUUGGAUUUUCUUCCCAAAUUUCAGUGAUGAAGAGCUAUCCAUAAAUCUUGGGAGUCUAGAGUUUCUGGUGACAGAGUUGUGGAUUCAUUUUUUUGACUGAAGCCUUUCCUCAGGGCAGGUCAGGAACUUCUGCCCCAUCCUUCCGCACUCGGUGAGGUUUGCACAGCACAAGGAGACGCUCUGAUUCUGCAGAUGUGAAGUGGUGGUGCCCAGAGCUCAGAAGCCCUGGUAUUGGUCCAAGGAAAGGAGCUCAGCAAAGAAGCCAUUCCCCACACUCCAGAGAGGGGUAACAAGGCUUGGCGAGGAAAUGCAAAGGGCUAGUUUUGCACUUCAUUGCAUGGUCAAGCAGCUGGGAGAUGAGUCACUCCAGCUCCAUGGAUCUGCAGAGGGAGACUUGCAGGAAGAGAGGCCCGCCCAACUCUCCCGAAGGCCUCGGAAGUAGAAGGUUCUCAUCACCUGCAGAAGGACCUUCCAGAGGAAAUGCGACGGUUAUUACCACCAGGGAGGAGCCAGACUUGAUUUUUGGAGCACAGCCUGGUUUUUUCAAGUGUUUCGAGGCUGUUCUCUAGGAUAAAAGGACCCCAGGGUGGCCUCAUUUAUGUCACUUGGAUCUCAGAGUCCUGGAGCAGAAGGAGAAGGAGGCUUUCACCAGUCCAGGGAAGAUGUCCUAUCAGCAGCAGCAACAAUGCAAACUUCCCUGCCCACCCCCUCCUCAGGUCCUGGAGCCCUGCCCCCCCAAGGUGCCUGAGCCCUGCCCCCCCAAGGUGCCUGAGCACUGUCCCCCCAAGGUGCCCGUGCCGUGCCCUGCACCCUCCAGCCAGCAGAAGUGCCCUCCUGUGCAGCAUCCUCCAUGCCAACAGGAGUGUCUCCCAAAGCAGAAGUGAAUCAUCCGAAGCCACCACACCCUCCACCUGGACCUGAAGGUGCCAAGCCCUCUCCCUCCCUGCCAAUGCUCUACACCCUCCUUCCAACAGUCACAAAGAAGAACACAGCCUAGGAAAACCUACCUCUCAGCUGGCCCAAGGAGAGUGACACCUCCACUCAAGGUGUCUUGUUGCGGAUCAACAGAUCACUCUGAGCCUCAUCCUCUAGCACCCAGCAGAGAACAGAUGAGUGCUAUUCUCCGAGGCCUCCCUCCCCUGGAGCCCUGUGAACUAUAUUCACCGUGGCCAGGACAGGCUGCUCUUCCAGGUGCUUCUGCAGGUCUGAGAAGAACAUUAGAAUGAGGGCAGAUUCUUUCAACGAUGCCUCCUGACUUACUCCAAGUUUUUCCAAGCUUUUGAGAAGCCAAAGGCAUUAAACUAACUGCCUUAAAUGAGUGGAAAAUUACUCCGACUUCCUUCUUUGCCUUACUAUUUAGUUAGUGUAGUGAAAUCUAUUUCAAAUCACCAAUUUUUUAUUGGUAAAGACAGAUGACUUUACCUCUUGACCCUAAGCCAGAAGCUCCCAACCCUUUGUGUUGCUGUUACUUUUAACUUCCCACUCCUAAUAAAUCCAGUUGUUCCUGUA
Heterocephalus glaber (naked mole-rat) is the source of this 3863-nucleotide non-coding RNA. The record is from RefSeq and is a predicted model, not a curated record. NCBI's taxonomy places the organism in Eukaryota, Metazoa, Chordata, Mammalia, Rodentia, Bathyergidae.